UACAUAAUCUUAUUGAAUCCAUUACAUUAAAACGCAAAUAACUUGAAAACUACUUACUUUAUCGCAUUGAGACAAGAGUGAUAUUUACGUAAAAAGUAACGAAGAAUCAAAAAAACAAGCUUGAUUAUUACAACAGUGGCGUACAUUGUAAGGGGGGAAAAUGGGCAAAAAGAAAGUAUAUAUCCCUACAGCACGCCUCUGGUAAUAGCGGAAGACUAUCUUUUAACACUAGUAAAGUAUCCUAACAUGUGUAAACUGUGUGUCAAGUUUGAACAAAAAAUAUUAAAAGGUGCUUUAACAAUGGGCCCAAAUCAUUUUAGAACAUUUGUAAUAUAACACUCUGUAUAUCGUUUACGUCAACUUUGCAGUGUACGUCAACUUAACAAGAAAGACGAUGUCUUAUGUAGAGAUGUUGAUGGUGGACAUAUCAGAGACAUGUAAAGAGGAUAGACUUGGCUAGGUAUAUGCCACUCAAUGCAUCAGGGUGUAACGUCGACAUGGGAGUCUAGUCAUCUUUGUCAAUCACAUGCGCGGGAUCGUUUGGUUAAAAGAGAUAGAUAGACCACCGAUCUACUGUUUCCAUGCUGUUUCCGCGUUACGCUUUUUUGGUGAGUAUGCCGAGUCUACGCUUAAUAUGUCAAUGGGACAUAUACAGCAUCUUGUUUGAUUUUAUUUAUUAUUGUUACUAAUAAUUUUGUUAAUUCUUUUUAUUUUUGAUUAAAGUUCUGUGUUAAAGGUU
This is a long non-coding RNA of Diabrotica virgifera virgifera (western corn rootworm), 739 nucleotides long. RefSeq lists it as uncharacterized. The transcript is spliced from 2 exons. Lineage: Eukaryota; Metazoa; Arthropoda; Insecta; Coleoptera; Chrysomelidae. The record is from RefSeq and is a predicted model, not a curated record.